CCUACGGGUGGCAGCAGUGGGGAAUAUUGCACAAUGGGGGAAACCCUGAUGCAGCGACGCCGCGUGAGUGAAGAAGUAAUUCGUUAUGUAAAGCUCUAUCAGCAGGGAAGAAAAUGACGGUACCUGAGUAAGAAGCCCCGGCUAACUACGUGCCAGCAGCCGCGGUAAUACGUAGGGGGCAAGCGUUAUCCGGAUUUACUGGGUGUAAAGGGGGCGUAGACGGCAGUGCAAGUCUGGGGUGAAAGGCGGGGGCUUAACCCCGGAACUGCUCUGGAUACUGUACGGCUGGAGUGCAGGAGAGGUAGGUGGAAUUCCUAGUGUAGCGGUGAAAUGCGUAGAUAUUAGGAGGAACACCAGUGGCGAAGGCGGCCUACUGGACUGUAACUGACGUUGAGGCUCGAAAGCGUGGGGAGCAAACAGGAUUAGAUACCCCAGUAGUC
Molecule: ribosomal RNA, 440 nt
Filed under: uncultured bacterium
Lineage: Bacteria
Description: partial 16S ribosomal RNA
Rfam family: Bacterial small subunit ribosomal RNA
Source: RNAcentral